Molecule: ribosomal RNA, 482 nt
Filed under: uncultured soil bacterium
Lineage: Bacteria
Description: bacterial SSU rRNA
Rfam family: Bacterial small subunit ribosomal RNA
Source: RNAcentral
AGAACGAACGCUGGCGGCGUGGAUUAGGCAUGCAAGUCGAACGAAUCCCAGGGGCAACUCUGGGGGAAGUGGCGAAAGGGGCAGUAAGGCGUGGGUAACCUACCUCGAGGACCGGCAUAGCCUCUCUAACGAGAGGGUAAUUCCGGGCGCGGUAACCGGGUCGCAUGGCUUGGUUAUGGGAUGAAUUUCGCCUCGAGACGGGCUCACGUGGUAUUAGCUAGUUGGUGGGGUAACGCCCACCAAGGCCGAGAUGCCUAGCAGGUGUGAGAGCACGACCUGCGUCACUGGCACUGAGACACUGGCCAGACUCCUACGGGAGCUGCAGUCGAGGAUCUUCGGCAAUGGGCGCAAGCCUGACCGAGCGACGCCGCGUGUGCGAUGAAGGCCUUCGGGUGUAAAGCACGUGUCGAGGGGAGAAAGCGUCCGCAAGGAGUUGAUCUAACCCGUGGAAGGAAGCACGGGCUAAGUCAUGCCAGCAGCCG